Myodes glareolus (Bank vole) is the source of this 1097-nucleotide non-coding RNA. The record is from RefSeq and is a predicted model, not a curated record. Lineage: Eukaryota; Metazoa; Chordata; Mammalia; Rodentia; Cricetidae.
GCUCACUGUCAUACAGGGCACAUUUAACGUACCAUUUGUGCUUGUAAUUGUCGCAUUUCUCUCUGACGCCAUCACUUGGGACGCUGCACCGCAAGGGUCAUAUUCAAGCUACUUUUCUCCCACUGUAGCUCUUCCUCUCAGGCCUGAGCCUGACCUCAACAGGACAUAUUUGCUGACUGACUCAUGUGUGACCGCGUCAACGAAUGAUCAGGGACAAACGCAGGAGGGAGAUGAAGCAGAAGGGAUUUCCCAGGACAGAGGAACUAUGUUUAUGAAUGAUGAAAAUCCUCAGCCAUUAGAAAUGAGAGAUUGCCAGCAAUGAAAAGGUAGGCUGUAAGAAUCUAAUUAGAAUCCUUAAUUUGGAAGACCGGAGCCUUAAAGCCACAGUAAUAGCAGCUGUGGUGGCUUGAACUCUCACCUUGUGCCAAACUUUUUCUAAGAGCCCUUUCCAUGGAUUUACCCAUUUAAUAUUUUUACACAUUUCCUCGUUGAAUCAUGGUGGCCUGCCGUCCCUGCCUGCAGUGUGAAGACAGAGAAAUCAGUGAACAAGACCCCUCUGAAGUGGCAUCCAGUCCUAAGCCAUGGACCGGGAAAUGGAGGCUCCAUGCUGAGAUGCCUUGGCUAGGAUUACAGACUGAUGAGGCCGAACCACAGGUCACAAACACUGCAUAGGACCUUGGGGUGCAUUUUGACGCCACAGGUAAGCUAUUAACUGCCUCACUGGAAAGGAUGCUUGAAGCCACUGUCUGGUCCCGACUACAGACUGGCCAGGAGACACUUCUGCUCUUCUUUGGAGGCAGCCAUGGGCUGGUCCCCAGGUGAGCUGCAUUCCGUGAGUUCCUUUCCCCCAACUCAUGGCUUUCCCUUCAUCUCCUUAGCUGUUACUCCACAGGGAAACAUGGAAAGGAAAACCUCACUGCCCCAAAUAGCAAACUGCUUAAAGAUACCCUCAGGUCCACCCAAUACAAGGAAGGAGCUUGGCAAUAUGAAAAUCCCUUAAACCUUUGUUCUGGGCAGGUUUUGAAACAUAUAAGCAUUUUGUCAUGUGUCUGUCACACAUUUUCUUCCAUUUUGACAUCUCUUAGGUCUAAAAGUAU